Molecule: ribosomal RNA, 2920 nt
Filed under: Bacillus paranthracis
Lineage: Bacteria; Bacillati; Bacillota; Bacilli; Caryophanales; Bacillaceae
Description: 23S ribosomal RNA
Rfam family: Bacterial large subunit ribosomal RNA
Source: RNAcentral
GGUUAAGUUAGAAAGGGCGCACGGUGGAUGCCUUGACACUAGGAGUCGAUGAAGGACGGGACUAACGCCGAUAUGCUUCGGGGAGCUGUAAGUAAGCUUUGAUCCGAAGAUUUCCGAAUGGGGAAACCCACCAUACGUAAUGGUAUGGUAUCCUUAUCUGAAUACAUAGGGUAAGGAAGACAGACCCAGGGAACUGAAACAUCUAAGUACCUGGAGGAAGAGAAAGCAAAUGCGAUUUCCUGAGUAGCGGCGAGCGAAACGGAACAUAGCCCAAACCAAGAGGCUUGCCUCUUGGGGUUGUAGGACAUUCUAUACGGAGUUACAAAGGAACGAGGUAGACGAAGCGACCUGGAAAGGUCCGUCGUAGAGGGUAACAACCCCGUAGUCGAAACUUCGUUCUCUCUUGAAUGUAUCCUGAGUACGGCGGAACACGUGAAAUUCCGUCGGAAUCUGGGAGGACCAUCUCCUAAGGCUAAAUACUCCCUAGUGAUCGAUAGUGAACCAGUACCGUGAGGGAAAGGUGAAAAGCACCCCGGAAGGGGAGUGAAAGAGAUCCUGAAACCGUGUGCCUACAAAUAGUCAGAGCCCGUUAACGGGUGAUGGCGUGCCUUUUGUAGAAUGAACCGGCGAGUUACGAUCCCGUGCGAGGUUAAGCUGAAGAGGCGGAGCCGCAGCGAAAGCGAGUCUGAAUAGGGCGUUUAGUACGUGGUCGUAGACCCGAAACCAGGUGAUCUACCCAUGUCCAGGGUGAAGUUCAGGUAACACUGAAUGGAGGCCCGAACCCACGCACGUUGAAAAGUGCGGGGAUGAGGUGUGGGUAGCGGAGAAAUUCCAAUCGAACCUGGAGAUAGCUGGUUCUCCCCGAAAUAGCUUUAGGGCUAGCCUUAAGUGUAAGAGUCUUGGAGGUAGAGCACUGAUUGGACUAGGGGUCCUCAUCGGAUUACCGAAUUCAGUCAAACUCCGAAUGCCAAUGACUUAUCCUUAGGAGUCAGACUGCGAGUGAUAAGAUCCGUAGUCAAAGGGAAACAGCCCAGACCGCCAGCUAAGGUCCCAAAGUGUGUAUUAAGUGGAAAAGGAUGUGGAGUUGCUUAGACAACUAGGAUGUUGGCUUAGAAGCAGCCACCAUUUAAAGAGUGCGUAAUAGCUCACUAGUCGAGUGACUCUGCGCCGAAAAUGUACCGGGGCUAAAUACACCACCGAAGCUGCGGAUUGAUACCGAAUGGUAUCAGUGGUAGGGGAGCGUUCUAAGGACAGUGAAGUCAGACCGGAAGGACUGGUGGAGUGCUUAGAAGUGAGAAUGCCGGUAUGAGUAGCGAAAGACGGGUGAGAAUCCCGUCCACCGAAUGCCUAAGGUUUCCUGAGGAAGGCUCGUCCGCUCAGGGUUAGUCAGGACCUAAGCCGAGGCCGACAGGCGUAGGCGAUGGACAACAGGUUGAUAUUCCUGUACCACCUCUUUAUCGUUUGAGCAAUGGAGGGACGCAGAAGGAUAGAAGAAGCGUGCGAUUGGUUGUGCACGUCCAAGCAGUUAGGCUGAUAAGUAGGCAAAUCCGCUUAUCGUAAAGGCUGAGCUGUGAUGGGAAGCUCCUUAUGGAGCGAAGUCUUUGAUUCCCCGCUGCCAAGAAAAGCUUCUAGCGAGAUAAAAGGUGCCUGUACCGCAAACCGACACAGGUAGGCGAGGAGAGAAUCCUAAGGUGUGCGAGAGAACUCUGGUUAAGGAACUCGGCAAAAUGACCCCGUAACUUCGGGAGAAGGGGUGCUUUCUUAACGGAAAGCCGCAGUGAAUAGGCCCAAGCGACUGUUUAGCAAAAACACAGCUCUCUGCGAAGCCGUAAGGCGAAGUAUAGGGGUGACACCUGCCCGGUGCUGGAAGGUUAAGGAGAGGGGUUAGCGUAAGCGAAGCUCUGAACUGAAGCCCCAGUAAACGGCGGCCGUAACUAUAACGGUCCUAAGGUAGCGAAAUUCCUUGUCGGGUAAGUUCCGACCCGCACGAAAGGUGUAACGAUUUGGGCACUGUCUCAACCAGAGACUCGGUGAAAUUAUAGUACCUGUGAAGAUGCAGGUUACCCGCGACAGGACGGAAAGACCCCGUGGAGCUUUACUGUAGCCUGAUAUUGAAUUUUGGUACAGUUUGUACAGGAUAGGCGGGAGCCUUUGAAACCGGAGCGCUAGCUUCGGUGGAGGCGCUGGUGGGAUACCGCCCUGACUGUAUUGAAAUUCUAACCUACGGGUCUUAUCGACCCGGGAGACAGUGUCAGGUGGGCAGUUUGACUGGGGCGGUCGCCUCCUAAAGUGUAACGGAGGCGCCCAAAGGUUCCCUCAGAAUGGUUGGAAAUCAUUCGUAGAGUGCAAAGGCAUAAGGGAGCUUGACUGCGAGACCUACAAGUCGAGCAGGGACGAAAGUCGGGCUUAGUGAUCCGGUGGUUCCGCAUGGAAGGGCCAUCGCUCAACGGAUAAAAGCUACCCCGGGGAUAACAGGCUUAUCUCCCCCAAGAGUCCACAUCGACGGGGAGGUUUGGCACCUCGAUGUCGGCUCAUCGCAUCCUGGGGCUGUAGUCGGUCCCAAGGGUUGGGCUGUUCGCCCAUUAAAGCGGUACGCGAGCUGGGUUCAGAACGUCGUGAGACAGUUCGGUCCCUAUCCGUCGUGGGCGUAGGAAAUUUGAGAGGAGCUGUCCUUAGUACGAGAGGACCGGGAUGGACGCACCGCUGGUGUACCAGUUGUUCUGCCAAGGGCAUAGCUGGGUAGCUAUGUGCGGAAGGGAUAAGUGCUGAAAGCAUCUAAGCAUGAAGCCCCCCUCAAGAUGAGAUUUCCCAUAGCGUAAGCUAGUAAGAUCCCUGAAAGAUGAUCAGGUUGAUAGGUUCGAGGUGGAAGCAUGGUGACAUGUGGAGCUGACGAAUACUAAUAGAUCGAGGACUUAACCAU